GUUCCUUUAGCUUAACGGUAGAGCUGCUGUCUUCGGAACAGUAGAUAUUGGUUCGAUUCCAAUAAGGUGCU
RNAcentral lists this transfer RNA (71 nucleotides) under Apiotrichum gamsii. Its description in RNAcentral is "tRNA-Arg". It matches the Rfam family "tRNA". Rfam says of the family: Transfer RNA (tRNA) molecules are approximately 80 nucleotides in length. Their secondary structure includes four short double-helical elements and three loops (D, anti-codon, and T loops). The record is from RNAcentral. Lineage: Eukaryota; Fungi; Basidiomycota; Tremellomycetes; Trichosporonales; Trichosporonaceae.